This 324-nucleotide ribosomal RNA is filed under the name uncultured eukaryote. RNAcentral's name for it is "partial 18S ribosomal RNA". It matches the Rfam family "Eukaryotic small subunit ribosomal RNA", at positions 1470 to 1796 of the family's 1831-position model. The record is from RNAcentral.
CCCUUAGAUGUCCCGGGCUGCACGCGCGCUACACUGAUGUGUCCAGUAAGCACCUAACCUAUUCCGAGAGGAGCGGGUAACCUUAGCAAAGCACAUCGUGAUGGGGAUAGAUUAUUGCAAUUAUUAGUCUUGAACGAGGAAUUCCUAGUAAGCACAAGUCAUCAGCUUGUGUUGAUUACGUCCCUGCCCUUUGUACACACCGCCCGUCGCUCCUACCGAUUGAAUGUUCCGGUGAGCUCUUCGGACUGCGCGGUCUGCAGUUUCUGCGUUCCGUGCGGAAAGUUGUGCAAACCUUAACAUUUAGAGGAAGGAGAAGUCGUAACA